UAAUACGAAGGGGGCUAGCGUUGCUCGGAAUUACUGGGCGUAAAGGGCGCGUAGGCGGCUCUGUUAGUCAGGCGUGAAAGCCCUGGGCUCAACCUGGGGACUGCGCUUGAUACGGCGGGGCUUGAGGACGGAAGAGGCUCGCGGAAUUCCCAGUGUAGAGGUGAAAUUCGUAGAUAUUGGGAAGAACACCGGUGGCGAAGGCGGCGAGCUGGUCCGUUACUGACGCUGAGGCGCGACAGCGUGGGGAGCAAACAGGAUUAGAUACCCUGGUAGUCCACGCCGUAAACGAUGUGCGCUGGAUGUUGGGUGGCCUAGCCACUCAGUGUCGUAGCCAACGCGGUAAGCGCACCGCCUGGGGAGUACGGCCGCAAGGUUG
This 376-nucleotide ribosomal RNA is filed under the name uncultured bacterium. RNAcentral describes it as "bacterial SSU rRNA". It matches the Rfam family "Bacterial small subunit ribosomal RNA", at positions 521 to 896 of the family's 1533-position model. The record is from RNAcentral.